UGGUGUCUUACUAAUGACAAUAGUCUCUUC
This 30-nucleotide non-coding RNA is filed under the name Mus musculus (house mouse). The record is from RNAcentral. Lineage: Eukaryota; Metazoa; Chordata; Mammalia; Rodentia; Muridae.